UACGUAGGGUGCAAGCGUUGUCCGGAAUUAUUGGGCGUAAAGAGCUCGUAGGCGGUUUGUCGCGUCUGCUGUGAAAACUCGGGGCUUAACCCCGGGCCUGCAGUGGGUACGGGCAGACUAGAGUGCGGUAGGGGAGACUGGAAUUCCUGGUGUAGCGGUGGAAUGCGCAGAUAUCAGGAGGAACACCGAUGGCGAAGGCAGAUCUCUGGGCCGUAACUGACGCUGAGGAGCGAAAGCGUGGGGAGCGAACAGG
RNAcentral lists this ribosomal RNA (253 nucleotides) under uncultured bacterium. Its description in RNAcentral is "partial 16S ribosomal RNA". It matches the Rfam family "Bacterial small subunit ribosomal RNA", at positions 524 to 776 of the family's 1533-position model. The record is from RNAcentral.